RNAcentral lists this transfer RNA (86 nucleotides) under bacterium. Its description in RNAcentral is "tRNA-Leu". It matches the Rfam family "tRNA". From Rfam's summary of the family: Transfer RNA (tRNA) molecules are approximately 80 nucleotides in length. Their secondary structure includes four short double-helical elements and three loops (D, anti-codon, and T loops). Further hydrogen bonds mediate the characteristic L-shaped molecular structure. tRNAs have two regions of fundamental functional importance: the anti-codon, which is responsible for specific mRNA codon recognition, and the 3' end, to which the tRNAs corresponding amino acid is attached (by aminoacyl-tRNA synthetases). tRNAs cope with the degeneracy of the genetic code in two manners: having more than one tRNA (with a specific anti-codon) for a particular amino acid; and 'wobble' base-pairing, i.e. permitting non-standard base-pairing at the 3rd anti-codon position. The record is from RNAcentral. RNAcentral also lists the same sequence under 1 other name.
GGGGGUGUGUUGGAAUUGGUAUACAAUGCGGACUUAAAAUCCGCCGCCCUAUGGGAUUGAGAGUUCGAGUCUCUUCGCCCCCACCA